AUGCAGGGUAACGAAAUCAAAAUAGCCUAAAACUUAAGUGAUAUGUACUUCUACAAACGAAAAUACGACGAAAAUGGUGGACAAAGAUCAUUACGUUUGGAAUUUUGUUUAUUAGAUAUUGACAUUUGAAAAUUAAUCAAAAUUCCCUUAGCGUAAUAAGAGUACAUCCACGAGUGAACGAAGAGGUUCAUCGUAGUGAACCAUCUGCCAGUCGCUGAAGUUUCCCCAUAAGAGUACCAUGUAUAAAGAAGAACAGUUAUAUGGUGAUACCAGUGUAGGAAUAUUAAUGGUUGCUUUCGUAACACGAUGAAGGCUGUGUCACCGAGUUCUACUAUCUUCGACAAUGUAAACGAGAACGUCCAAAAUGCUGCAACGGGGUCUCGCGUAAGGAAACUGAAAAGCAAGAAUAAAGUAUUAAAGUGAAAUUACUUUGGAACACAAACGCUAUAGUAAAACCCAUAAUUGCUUAAAGUGUGGAACAUCUCUGAUCCCAUUCGAAGAAAGCCAAAGAUGGAGAACGUCGCAAGCAUCAAACUCCAUAAAGUAAGCCAACGUCUUAGGUCGAACUUUGGCUUAUCUGAUAGGUUCAAGACGUACGAGUAAUUAGGUAGAGACAUCUGCAUGUAGCUCAUAUUCUCCUUCAUCUUAUAAUCCAUUUUAACGCUCGUCCCGGGAUUUGCCUUUUCUAUCCAAGAUUUUUAUCUCUGUUGCCAAUCUAUUGAAAAAGAAGAAGAGUACAUCGGAUACGGUGUAAUUUAUAUUCUGACGAAUAUGAAUAAUUGUUUUAUGUAUUUAUGUAGUAGCGUAUAAUAUAGUUACUUAUAAAUUA
Molecule: long non-coding RNA, 829 nt
Organism: Bombus huntii
Lineage: Eukaryota; Metazoa; Arthropoda; Insecta; Hymenoptera; Apidae
Exons: 4
Source: RefSeq, a predicted model, not a curated record